This 254-nucleotide ribosomal RNA is filed under the name uncultured bacterium. RNAcentral's name for it is "partial 16S ribosomal RNA". It matches the Rfam family "Bacterial small subunit ribosomal RNA", at positions 524 to 776 of the family's 1533-position model. The record is from RNAcentral.
UACGUAGGGGGCAAGCGUUGUCCGGAUUUAUUGGGCGUAAAGAGCUCGUAGGUGGUUCGGUAAGUCGGAUGUGAAAUCUCCAGGCUCAACCUGGAGGGGUCAUUCGAUACUGCCGUGACUAGAGUUCGGUAGGGGAGUGUGGAAUUCCCAGUGUAGUGGUGAAAUACGUAGAGAUUGAGAAGAACACCAGUGGCGAAGGCGGCUAUCUGGACGGUUUCUGACGCUAAGACGCGAAAGCGUGGGGAGCAAACAGG